This 252-nucleotide ribosomal RNA is filed under the name uncultured bacterium. RNAcentral describes it as "partial 16S ribosomal RNA". It matches the Rfam family "Bacterial small subunit ribosomal RNA", at positions 524 to 775 of the family's 1533-position model. The record is from RNAcentral.
UACAGAGGGUGCGAGCGUUGUUCGGAAUUAUUGGGCGUAAAGCGCUUGUAGGCGGCCUGUUAAGUUCCGUGUGAAAUCCCCAGGCUUAACCUGGGAAGUGCGCGGAAAACUGGCGGGCUUGAGUGCCGGAGAGGGUCGCGGAAUUCCCGGUGUAGAGGUGAAAUUCGUAGAUAUCGGGAGGAACACCAGUGGCGAAGGCGGCGACCUGGACGGACACUGACGCUGAGACGCGAAAGCGUGGGGAGCAAACAG